RNAcentral lists this ribosomal RNA (253 nucleotides) under uncultured bacterium. RNAcentral's name for it is "partial 16S ribosomal RNA". It matches the Rfam family "Bacterial small subunit ribosomal RNA", at positions 524 to 776 of the family's 1533-position model. The record is from RNAcentral.
UACGUAGGGUGCGAGCGUUGUCCGGAAUUACUGGGCGUAAAGGGCUCGUAGGUGGCCAACUAAGUCAGACGUGAAAUCCCUCGGCUUAACCGGGGAACUGCGUCUGAUACUGGAUGGCUUGAGUUUGGGAGAGGGACGCGGAAUUCCAGGUGUAGCGGUGAAAUGCGUAGAUAUCUGGAGGAACACCGGUGGCGAAGGCGGCGUCCUGGACCAACACUGACACUGAGGAGCGAAAGCCAGGGGAGCAAACGGG